Molecule: ribosomal RNA, 252 nt
Filed under: uncultured bacterium
Lineage: Bacteria
Description: partial 16S ribosomal RNA
Rfam family: Bacterial small subunit ribosomal RNA
Source: RNAcentral
UACGUAGGUGGCGAGCGUUAUCCGGAAUGAUUGGGCGUAAAGGGUGCGUAGGCGGCCUGCUAAGUCUGGAGUGAAAGGUACCGGCUCAACCGGUACAGGCUCUGGAAACUGGCGGGCUAGAGAGCAGGAGAGGGCGGUGGAACUCCGUGUGUAGCGGUAAAAUGCGUAGAUAUAUGGAGGAACACCGGUGGCGAAAGCGGCUCUCUGGCCUGUAACUGACACUGAGGCUCGAAAGCGUGGGGAGCAAACAGG